This 1505-nucleotide long non-coding RNA is filed under the name Lepisosteus oculatus (spotted gar). RNAcentral describes it as "lncRNA (ENSLOCG00000023255.1)". The record is from RNAcentral. Lineage: Eukaryota; Metazoa; Chordata; Actinopteri; Semionotiformes; Lepisosteidae.
AGACGUGUGCGGACCGGUCAGUGUCCAGCGCUGACCGAUGGGGCUGUGAUGUAUGUGGCCCAGUCAGUGUCCAGUGCUGACCGGCAGAGCUGAGACGUGUGCGGACCGGUCAGUGUCCAGUGCUGACCAGCAGGGCUGUGAUGUAUGUGGCCCAGUCAGUGUCCAGUGCUGACCGGCGGGGCUGAGACGUGUGCGGACCGGUCAGUGUCCAGUGCUGACCAGCGGGGCUGUGAUGUGUGUGGCCCGGUCAGUGUCCAGUGCUGACCAGCAGGGCUGAGACGUGUGGGGACCGGUCAGUGUCCAGUGCUGACCAGCGGGGCUGAGACGUGUGCGGACCGGUCAGUGUCCAGUGUCUGGGCAAGUCUACUGAAGGGCACAGGUUCAGGAAGCUGAAAUAAUUGAUCAUUCUCCCCCUUCCAGACUGCCUGCUCCAUUCGUAUGGCAGGUAUGUAGCCUGGUGCUUUGUGCCUUACGACUCACAAAGUCAAUACCUACACAAUAACCACUGUGUGUAGCAGCAUCAACCCCUCCUAGCCUGAUCAGUUCUGCAAAACCACCACUGGGGGGCGACAUAACUUCACUCUCUCAAGUGGUUUUCCAUCUCGGGUUGGGCUCGUGAGUUUAAAGCAGGAUGUGUCUGUGCACUGAGCACUGAACCCACACCUGCAAAAUCCAGCAGGUCCCUCGUUUUACAUCCGAGUUCUGGAAAAGGCUUUGGAAGCUUGGGGGUGAUUGCAUGCCACAUGGAAGCAAUUCAUUGUAAUAGGCUCCCGGGUGAUGGGGAAGAGAAUGUGGAUCAUUCCUCCAGGCUGGAGGGGAAACCACCUGGAGCCGAGUGUGCAGGGACAAUAUGAACCACUGGCACACUUUCACAGGGCGUUGGAUACCUUCACAAGACAGCUCACCGAGAGAUGAGCUGAGUGCACUGCGCGGGGCGUGAUCAGAGCAGCUGGCGGAGAGGGCGGGUCCCUCUCACUCUGGUGCUUCAGGAGGGCGACCCCGGCUCUCCACCGGACCAGGCCUGGACACCCCCUCUGCCCGGGAUCAGGGCUGGAGCGUCCCGCAGCGUGGGAACUGGGAUCCGUUCCAUCUCCGAUCCCAUAGUGACAGGCAGCUCCCAGGCCACACUGGGAAUUGGCCCCCUCACCCUGCUUAACUGCUCUGCUGAUUCCGAUCACAUUCUGCUGCUUUCGCGUGAGAGAGGAUUAAAACAGCUGCCCCGAGAUCAAACUGAGGUCGCUGGGUCUCUGUGUCGGCUCUGCCUGGGCUGCGACAGGAGAUCACACACUGGGCUGCAGCUCUGCUGAGUGUCCUCCCCCUGUAGGACUGGGGGCUGUUUGUGCAGGUGUGGGAAUUCUGGGAUUAGAACCGGUAAUUUAAGGAAGAAUGUUUGUCUGGUGGAGACUGGUGGCGAGUGCUCUGUGCCCAGAGUGCGGAGACUGAUGGAGAGUGCUCUGUGCCCAGAGUGCGGACUGGUGGAGAGUGCUCUGUGCCCAGAGUGCGGA